Molecule: non-coding RNA, 126 nt
Organism: Echria macrotheca
Lineage: Eukaryota; Fungi; Ascomycota; Sordariomycetes; Sordariales; Schizotheciaceae
Source: the annotation of a GenBank genome assembly
GGGCGGGUAGCGUAAUGGUCAGCGCAUUCACUGAGCGUAUUCUUUCCCUAAGCGAAAUCCAGCGUUGUUUUCUAAUUAUAUCAAAGCGUUCAUUGAAAGACCUGGGUUCGAAUCCCAGCCCGCCCA